Molecule: transfer RNA, 126 nt
Filed under: Tolypothrix bouteillei VB521301
Lineage: Bacteria; Bacillati; Cyanobacteriota; Cyanophyceae; Nostocales; Tolypothrichaceae
Rfam family: tRNA
About the family: Transfer RNA (tRNA) molecules are approximately 80 nucleotides in length. Their secondary structure includes four short double-helical elements and three loops (D, anti-codon, and T loops). Further hydrogen bonds mediate the characteristic L-shaped molecular structure. tRNAs have two regions of fundamental functional importance: the anti-codon, which is responsible for specific mRNA codon recognition, and the 3' end, to which the tRNAs corresponding amino acid is attached (by aminoacyl-tRNA synthetases). tRNAs cope with the degeneracy of the genetic code in two manners: having more than one tRNA (with a specific anti-codon) for a particular amino acid; and 'wobble' base-pairing, i.e. permitting non-standard base-pairing at the 3rd anti-codon position.
Source: Rfam by way of RNAcentral
UGGCAGGUAGCUCAAACGGUAGAGCGCCAACAUAGCCUGAAAAGGACGAUAGAAUUUAGGGUUAUCGCUUUUAACGAUCCCCCCCUUUAUUCACCGGAGAUGCGGGUUCAAAUCCCGCCCCGCUAC